GUCCCUGUAGUGCAAUAGACAGCGUGUUGGACUUCUAAUCCAAAGGUCGUGGGUUCGAAUCCCACCUGGGAUG
Non-coding RNA from Trichonephila inaurata madagascariensis, 73 nucleotides. The record is from the annotation of a GenBank genome assembly. NCBI's taxonomy places the organism in Eukaryota, Metazoa, Arthropoda, Arachnida, Araneae, Nephilidae.